CCUACGGGAGGCAGCAGUGGGGAAUUUUGGACAAUGGGCGCAAGCCUGAUCCAGCCAUGCCGCGUGUGGGAAGAAGGCCUUCGGGUUGUAAACCACUUUUGUCAGGGAAGAAACGGUCUGAACUAAUACUUUGGACUAAUGACGGUACCUGAAGAAUAAGCACCGGCUAACUACGUGCCAGCAGCCGCGGUAAUACGUAGGGUGCAAGCGUUAAUCGGAAUUACUGGGCGUAAAGCGUGCGCAGGCGGCUUUGCAAGACAGAUGUGAAAUCCCCGGGCUCAACCUGGGAACUGCAUUUGUGACUGCAUGGCUAGAGUACGGUAGAGGGGGAUGGAAUUCCGCGUGUAGCAGUGAAAUGCGUAGAUAUGCGGAGGAACACCGAUGGCGAAGGCAAUCCCCUGGACCUGUACUGACGCUCAUGCACGAAAGCGUGGGGAGCAAACAGGAUUAGAUACCCUGGUAGUCCACGCCCUAAACGAUGUCAACUGGUUNUUGGGGGGUUUCUUCGUCAGUAACGAAGCUAACGCGUGAAGUUGACCGCCUGGGGAGUACGGCCGCAAGGUUGAAACUCAAAUGAAAUUGACGG
This 586-nucleotide ribosomal RNA is filed under the name uncultured bacterium. RNAcentral describes it as "bacterial SSU rRNA". It matches the Rfam family "Bacterial small subunit ribosomal RNA", at positions 338 to 916 of the family's 1533-position model. The record is from RNAcentral.